GAUUGGAUGGGUCAAUGGUUGAGAUCUCCUUGGUGUGUAGAAGGUCCCGGGUUCAAUCCCCGGCAUCUCCAAUUA
RNAcentral lists this transfer RNA (75 nucleotides) under Sphaerodactylus townsendi. RNAcentral's name for it is "tRNA-Thr". Lineage: Eukaryota; Metazoa; Chordata; Lepidosauria; Squamata; Sphaerodactylidae. The record is from RNAcentral.